GGACGCGUGGCCUAGCAUGGAUAGGGCACCGGCCUCCUAAGCCGGUUGUCCCGGGUUCAAAUCCCGGCGCGUCCG
This 75-nucleotide transfer RNA is filed under the name Methanobacteriota archaeon. Its description in RNAcentral is "Euryarchaeota archaeon (sediment metagenome) tRNA-Arg". It matches the Rfam family "tRNA". Rfam says of the family: Transfer RNA (tRNA) molecules are approximately 80 nucleotides in length. Their secondary structure includes four short double-helical elements and three loops (D, anti-codon, and T loops). The record is from RNAcentral. Lineage: Archaea; Methanobacteriati; Methanobacteriota.